UACGGAGGGUGCAAGCGUUAAUCGGAAUUACUGGGCGUAAAGCGCACGUAGGCGGUAUGUUAAGUUGGAUGUGAAAUCCCCGGGCUCAACCUGGGAAUUGCAUUCAAAACUGGCAUGCUAGAGUAUGUGAGAGGGGGGUAGAAUUCCAAGUGUAGCGGUGAAAUGCGUAGAGAUUUGGAGGAAUACCAGUGGCGAAGGCGGCCCCCUGGCACAAUACUGACGCUCAGGUGCGAAAGCGUGGGGAGCAAACAGG
RNAcentral lists this ribosomal RNA (253 nucleotides) under uncultured bacterium. RNAcentral describes it as "partial 16S ribosomal RNA". It matches the Rfam family "Bacterial small subunit ribosomal RNA", at positions 524 to 776 of the family's 1533-position model. The record is from RNAcentral.